CAAAAUUCUUCAUCUUCAUAUUACUCCCAUGGCCAAGAAUCUGCCUCAAUAACACUCUUUUUUACUCUACUUUACUAUUUUAUCAACAAACAAAAAAAAUUGAAAAGUCAUGACUUCUUCCUACUCUUUAUGUUCUAUUAGAAACUCUACUAAAUUUGUAGCUAAUAAUUCUAAUCUUUUCUUUCCAAGACAGAGGCUUUGUGUGUUUACCAAUGAAACUCAGUUUCCCAAGAAAGAUUUUCUUGUACUCAAGCCACAAACAUGUUGUUUUUCAUUUUUGAGACUGAAAAAAUCCAGCUUUAAACACCCUUUUGCUGCUUUAUCAUCUUUUGCUGAAUCAGAUGAUGAAAAAGGUGAGAACUUUGAAAUCAAAUCCCACCAAGAAAAUACUAUUUCCUCUGAGGAUGAAGAUGAGUUACCUGGAAUGGCACAAGCUUUUCAUAUAUCUUCAAGAACAGCUUCUGCUAUAUCAAUAUGCAUUGCAUUAGCUGCACUGAUUUUGCCAUUUUUCAUGAAGUCAUUGGGUCAAGGAUUGGGAUUCAAGUACAAAAUUUUGUCAUAUGUAACAAUCUUGUUUGG
RNAcentral lists this unclassified non-coding RNA (579 nucleotides) under Hevea brasiliensis (rubber tree). The record is from RNAcentral. Lineage: Eukaryota; Viridiplantae; Streptophyta; Magnoliopsida; Malpighiales; Euphorbiaceae.